AGGAUUGGCCCGCGUUCGAUUAGCUAGUUGGUGAGGUAACGGCUCACCAAGGCGACGAUCGAUAGCUGGUCUGAGAGGAUGAUCAGCCACAUUGGGACUGAGACACGGCCCAAACUCCUACGGGAGGCAGCAGUGGGGAAUAUUGGACAAUGGGCGCAAGCCUGAUCCAGCCAUGCCGCGUGAGUGAUGACGGCCUUAGGGUUGUAAAGCUCUUUCGCUAGGGACGAUAAUGACGGUACCUAGACAAGAAGCCCCGGCUAACUUCGUGCCAGCAGCCGCGGUAAUACGAAGGGGGCUAGCGUUGUUCGGAAUUACUGGGCGUAAAGCGCGUGUAGGCGGGCUUUUAAGUCAGGGGUGAAAUGCCAAGGCUCAACCUUGGAACUGCCUUUGAUACUGGAAGUCUUGAGUCCGGGAGAGGUGAGUGGAACUGCGAGUGUAGAGGUGAAAUUCGUAGAUAUUCGCAAGAACACCAGUGGCGAAGGCGGCUCACUGGCCCGGAACUGACGCUGAGACGCGAAAGCGUGGGGAGCAAACAGGAUUAGAUACCCUGGUAGUCCACGCUGUAAACGAUGGAUGCUAGCCGUUGGGGAGCUUGCUCUUCAGUGGCGCAGCUAACGCUUUAAGCAUCCCGCCUGGGGAGUACGGUCGCAAGA
Molecule: ribosomal RNA, 653 nt
Filed under: uncultured bacterium
Lineage: Bacteria
Description: bacterial SSU rRNA
Rfam family: Bacterial small subunit ribosomal RNA
Source: RNAcentral